Non-coding RNA from Aedes aegypti (yellow fever mosquito), 73 nucleotides. Lineage: Eukaryota; Metazoa; Arthropoda; Insecta; Diptera; Culicidae. The record is from Rfam.
CCCCUUAUAGCGUAGUGGUAACGCGCCCCAACUAGAGAUCGGGGAGUCGUGAGUUCGAUUCUCACUGAGAAGA